Molecule: ribosomal RNA, 378 nt
Filed under: uncultured bacterium
Lineage: Bacteria
Description: bacterial SSU rRNA
Rfam family: Bacterial small subunit ribosomal RNA
Source: RNAcentral
UCAAAGAUGGGCGCAAGCCUGUUCUAGCCCUGCCGCGUUGAGCGAUGAAGGCCUUAGGGUCUGUAAAGCUCUUUCAGGGGGGAAGAUAAUGACUGUACCCCCAGAAGAAGCCCCGGCUAACUCCGUGCCAGCAGCCGCGGUAAUACGGAGGGGGCUAGCGUUGUUCGGAAUUACUGGGCGUAAAGCGCACGUAGGCGGACGGAGAAGCCAGAGGUGAAAUCCCAGGGCUCAACCUUGGAACUGCCUUUGAAACUUUCUGUCUUGAGGUCGAGAGAGGUGAGUGGAAUUCCGAGUGUAGAGGUGAAAUUCGUAGAUAUUCGGAAGAACACCAGUGGCGAAGGCGGCUCACUGGCUCGAUACUGACGCUGAGGUGCGAAA